UCCUUAACAGCUAGCCCACCCUCCCCAACACAACAAGCCCCAUUAAUACACCCAAAUGCACUGCAACAACUGGCCAAACCAUUCUUCCCUCCAAGUAUGUGCGACAGAAAAGAACCUGGGCGCUACAGAAAAAGUACCGCAAGGGAAAGCUGAAAGAGAAAUGAAACAGCCCAGUAAAGGCCCUCGAAGCAGAGCUUCACUCUCGUACCUCUUGCAUCAUGAUUUAGCAAGCACCCCCAAGCGAAAAGAAUUUUAGUUUGAGGCCCCGAAACUAUGCGAGCUACUCCAAGACAGCCUACAAGUAGGGCAAACCCGUCUCUGUGGCAAAAGAGUGGGAAGAUCUUCGAGUAGAGGUGACAAGCCAACCGAGCCUAGUUAUAGCUGGUUGCCCGAGAAGCGAAUAGAAGUUCUACCUUUUAAUUUCUUCCACCAACCCCGGUGACACCUGGCCCCGGCCCAGAGACCAUUAAAAGAGCCAUUCAAGGGAGGGACAGCUCUCUUGAAAAAAGACACAACUUUCCUAGCAGGCCAAAGAUCAUUACAUUUAAGGCACGUUGAUACCCAAGUGGGCCUAAAAGCAGCCACCCUAAAAGAAAGCGUUCAAGCUUAAGUAUUAAUCCCUCCUACGAUACCGACAACCAAAUCUUAUGCCUCUUAACAUAUCGGGCCUUUCCAUGCCCCCAUGGAAGCGACACUGCUAAUAUGAGUAAUAAGAGAGCGAAGCCUCUCUCGAAGCACCCGCCUACAUCAGAACGGACCACCCCCUGAAAAUUAACGCCCCGCCUUAAGCAGAGGGUACUGGGUAAAGAUCACAACAACUAGAAGACCACCCAAAUGAAAGCGUUAACCCCACAUCGGAGUGCCCCCCGAAAGACACAAAGGGACAGAAGGAACUCGGCAAAUCCUAGCCUCGCCUGUUUACCAAAAACAUCGCCUCUUGUCCCAUAAUAAGAGGUCCCGCCUGCCCUGUGACGAAAGUUUAACGGCCGCGGUAUUUUGACCGUGCGAAGGUAGCGUAAUCACUUGUCUUUUAAAUGAAGACCCGUAUGAAUGGCAUAACGAGGGCUAGACUGUCUCCUUUCCCCCGUCAAUGAAAUUGAUCUUCCCGUGCAGAAGCGGGAAUACCAGCAUAAGACGAGAAGACCCUAUGGAGCUUUAGACCUCGCAGCAGAUCACGUCAAAACUCUUAAACCACUAAGACUAAACAAAGUGCCCCCCGCUGCGGGUCUUUGGUUGGGGCGACCGCGGGGAAGCAACCAACCCCCGCGUGGUACGGGCCAAACCCCUAAAGCCAGACCCACAGCUCUAGCAAGCAGAACAUCUGACCUUCAAGAUCCGGCAUUGCCGAUUAACGGACCAAGUUACCCUAGGGAUAACAGCGCAAUCCUCUUUAAGAGUUCAUAUCGACAAGAGGGUUUACGACCUCGAUGUUGGAUCAGGACAACCUAAUGGUGCAGCCGCUAUUAAGGGUUC
RNAcentral lists this ribosomal RNA (1473 nucleotides) under Gobiodon citrinus. RNAcentral describes it as "partial 16S ribosomal RNA". It matches the Rfam family "Bacterial large subunit ribosomal RNA", at positions 406 to 2574 of the family's 2925-position model. Lineage: Eukaryota; Metazoa; Chordata; Actinopteri; Gobiiformes; Gobiidae. The record is from RNAcentral.